RNAcentral lists this ribosomal RNA (253 nucleotides) under uncultured bacterium. RNAcentral describes it as "partial 16S ribosomal RNA". It matches the Rfam family "Bacterial small subunit ribosomal RNA", at positions 524 to 776 of the family's 1533-position model. The record is from RNAcentral.
UACGGAGGGGGCGAGCGUUAUUCGGAAUUAUUGGGCGUAAAGGGCGCGUAGGCGGCUUGAUGUGUCAAAGGUGAAAUCCCUCGGCUCAACUGAGGAACUGCCUUUGAAACUGUCUGGCUUGAGGCCGGGAGAGGGUAGCGGAAUUCCCAGUGUAGCGGUGAAAUGCGUAGAUACUGGGAGGAACAUCGGUGGCGAAGGCGGCUACCUGGACCGGUUCUGACGCUGAUGCGCGAAAGCGUGGGUAGCAAACAGG